UACAGAGGGUGCAAGCGUUUAAUCGGAAUUACUGGGCGUAAAGCGUGCGCAGACGGUUGCGCAAGUCAGAUGUGAAAGCCCCGGGCUCAACCUGGGAAUUGCAUUUGAGACUGCGUAGCUAGGGUGCGGAAGAGGGAAGCGGAAUUUCCGGUGUAGCGGUGAAAUGCGUAGAUAUUCGGAAGAACACCAGUGGCGAAGGCGGCUUUCUGGUCUGUAACUGACGCUGAGGGCGCGAAAAGUGUGGGGAGCGAACAGG
This 256-nucleotide ribosomal RNA is filed under the name uncultured bacterium. Its description in RNAcentral is "partial 16S ribosomal RNA". It matches the Rfam family "Bacterial small subunit ribosomal RNA", at positions 524 to 776 of the family's 1533-position model. The record is from RNAcentral.